RNAcentral lists this ribosomal RNA (497 nucleotides) under uncultured bacterium. RNAcentral's name for it is "partial 16S ribosomal RNA". It matches the Rfam family "Bacterial small subunit ribosomal RNA", at positions 28 to 507 of the family's 1533-position model. The record is from RNAcentral.
GAUGAACGCUGGCGGCGUGCCUAACACAUGCAAGUCGAACGAACAGUUGACGACCUUGCUUCUCUGACGUUAGUUGCUGACGGGUGAGUAACACGUGGAUAACCUACCUAUAAGACUGGGAUCACUUCGGGAAACAGGAGAGCAUACCGGAUCAUAUAUUGACCCACAUGGUUCAAUAGUUAAAGACGGUUUUGCUAUAACCUAUGGAUGGAUCCGCGUCGCAUUAGCUAGUUGGUAAGGUAACGGCUUACCAAGGCAACUAUGCGUAGCCGACCUGAGAGGGAGGUCCACCAGCCGAGAUCUGAGGCAGGGUCGAGACACCGAGGGUGAGCAGCAGUAGGGAAUCUUACGCGAGGGGGGAGAGCCUGACGGAGCAAAGCCGCGUGAGCGAUGAAGGUGUGCGGAUCGUAAAGCUCUGUUAUUAGGGAUGAACUAAUGUGUAAGUAACAAUGCACGUCGUGACGGUACCUAACCAGAAAGCCACGGCUAACUACGUG